Pongo abelii (Sumatran orangutan) is the source of this 104-nucleotide small nucleolar RNA. Lineage: Eukaryota; Metazoa; Chordata; Mammalia; Primates; Hominidae. The record is from Ensembl.
AUCCUUUUGUAGUUCGUGAGCAUGAAGAUUGGGUGUUCAUGCACAUGUGUGAGAUGUGCCACCCUUGAACCUUGUUAUGACAUUGGCAUUUUACCCAUCUGGCC